AACGGUCUAUACCUGCGGUACCUGCGGAGGGAUCAUUACCGAGUCACGCACUCCAAACCCACCGCGAACCUACCCAGUUGCCUCGGCGCGCCCCCCAGCGGGCCGCCGGGAACCCUGACCCUGAUUCCUGGCGUCUCUCCGAGUGACCUAAGAAGAAUCAAAACUUUUAGCAAUGGAUCUCU
Molecule: unclassified non-coding RNA, 182 nt
Filed under: soil metagenome
Description: partial contains 5.8S ribosomal RNA, internal transcribed spacer 2, and large subunit ribosomal RNA
Source: RNAcentral